RNAcentral lists this ribosomal RNA (370 nucleotides) under uncultured organism. Its description in RNAcentral is "bacterial SSU rRNA". It matches the Rfam family "Bacterial small subunit ribosomal RNA", at positions 526 to 896 of the family's 1533-position model. The record is from RNAcentral.
CGUAGGGUGCGAGCGUUAAUCGGAAUUACUGGGCGUAAAGCGUGCGCAGGCGGUUUGUUAAGAUAGGCGUGAAAUCCCCGGGCUCAACCUGGGAACUGCGCUUAUGACUGGCAAGCUAGAGUACGGCAGAGGGGGUGAAUUCCACGUGUAGCAGUGAAAUGCGUAGAGAUGUGGAGGAACACCAAUGGCGAAGGCAGCCCCCUGGGUCGAUACUGACGCUCAUGCACGAAAGCGUGGGUAGCAAACAGGAUUAGAUACCCUGGUAGUCCACGCCCUAAACGAUGUCAACUAGGUGUUGGAUGGGUAAAACCAUUUAGUACCGGAGCUAACGCGUGAAGUUGACCGCCUGGGGAGUACGGCCGCAAGGUUA